This 418-nucleotide ribosomal RNA is filed under the name Babesia venatorum (nom. ined.). RNAcentral describes it as "SSU rRNA". It matches the Rfam family "Eukaryotic small subunit ribosomal RNA", at positions 538 to 1006 of the family's 1831-position model. The record is from RNAcentral. Lineage: Eukaryota; Apicomplexa; Aconoidasida; Piroplasmida; Babesiidae.
AGAGUAACAAUUGGAGGGCAAGUCUGGUGCCAGCAGCCGCGGUAAUUCCAGCUCCAAUAGCGUAUAUUAAACUUGUUGCAGUUAAAAAGCUCGUAGUUGAAUUUCUGCGUUAUCGAGUUAUUGACUCUUGUCUUUAAUCGAUUUCGCUUUUGGGAUUUAUCCCUUUUUACUUUGAGAAAAUUAGAGUGUUUCAAGCAGACUUUUGUCUUGAAUACUUCAGCAUGGAAUAAUAGAGUAGGACUUUGGUUCUAUUUUGUUGGUUUUUGAACCUUAGUAAUGGUUAAUAGGAACGGUUGGGGGCAUUCGUAUUUAACUGUCAGAGGUGAAAUUCUUAGAUUUGUUAAAGACGAACUACUGCGAAAGCAUUUGCCAAGGACGUUUCCAUUAAUCAAGAACGAAAGUUAGGGGAUCGAAGACG